GACGAACGCUGGCGGCGUGCCUAACACAUGCAAGUCGAACGGAAAGGCCCUGCUUUUGCGUGGUGCUCGAGUGGCGAACGGGUGAGAAACAUGUGAGUAACCUGCCCUUGACUUUGGGAUAACUUCAGGAAACUGCGGCUAAUACCGGAUAGGAGCUCCUGCUGCAUGGUGGGGGUUGGAAAGUUUCGGCGGUUGGGGAUGGACUCGCGGCUUACCAGCUUGUUGGUGGGGUAGUGGCUUACCAAGGCUUCGACGGAUAGCCGGCCUGGGAGGUUAGACGGGGACCUUACGACUGCGGGACGGCGCAGACUGGAACAGUGGGCAACGGUGGGGAAUAUUGCACAAUGAGCGGAAGCGUGAUGAAGAGACCCCGGGUGCGUGAUGACGGCCUUCGGGGUAUAAACCGCUUUCGGCUGUGACGAAGCGUGAGUGACGGUAAUGGGUGAAGAAGCACCGGCUAACUACGUG
Molecule: ribosomal RNA, 468 nt
Filed under: uncultured bacterium
Lineage: Bacteria
Description: partial 16S ribosomal RNA
Rfam family: Bacterial small subunit ribosomal RNA
Source: RNAcentral